GAUGAACGCUGGCGGUAUGCUUAACACAUGCAAGUCGAACGGACUCUUCGGAGUUAGUGGCGGACGGGUGAGUAACGCGUGAGAAUCUGGCUUUGGGUUCGGGACAACCACUGGAAACGGUGGCUAAUACCGGAUGUGCCGAGAGGUAAAAGAGAAAUUGCCUGAAGAUGAGCUCGCGUCUGAUUAGCUAGUUGGUGAGGUAAAGGCUCACCAAGGCAGCGAUCAGUAGCUGGUCUGAGAGGAUGACCAGCCACACUGGGACUGAGACACGGCCCAGACUCCUCCGGGAGGCAGCAGUGGGGAAUUUUCCGAAAUGGGCGAGAGCCUGACGGAGCAAUACCGCGUGAGGGAAGAAGGCUCUUGGGUUGUAAACCUCUUUUCUUAGGGAAGAACAAAAUGACGGUACCUAAGGAAUCAGCAUCGGCUAACUCCGUG
This 435-nucleotide ribosomal RNA is filed under the name uncultured bacterium. RNAcentral describes it as "partial 16S ribosomal RNA". It matches the Rfam family "Bacterial small subunit ribosomal RNA", at positions 28 to 507 of the family's 1533-position model. The record is from RNAcentral.